GCCUGGGUGGCUCAGUCGGUUAAGUGUUUGACUUGGGCUCAGGUCAUGAUCUCACAGACCAUAGGUUCAAGCCCCAUUUCAGGCU
Molecule: transfer RNA, 85 nt
Filed under: Felis catus (domestic cat)
Lineage: Eukaryota; Metazoa; Chordata; Mammalia; Carnivora; Felidae
Also listed under: 3 other names
Rfam family: tRNA
About the family: Transfer RNA (tRNA) molecules are approximately 80 nucleotides in length. Their secondary structure includes four short double-helical elements and three loops (D, anti-codon, and T loops). Further hydrogen bonds mediate the characteristic L-shaped molecular structure. tRNAs have two regions of fundamental functional importance: the anti-codon, which is responsible for specific mRNA codon recognition, and the 3' end, to which the tRNAs corresponding amino acid is attached (by aminoacyl-tRNA synthetases). tRNAs cope with the degeneracy of the genetic code in two manners: having more than one tRNA (with a specific anti-codon) for a particular amino acid; and 'wobble' base-pairing, i.e. permitting non-standard base-pairing at the 3rd anti-codon position.
Source: Rfam by way of RNAcentral